This 498-nucleotide ribosomal RNA is filed under the name uncultured bacterium. RNAcentral's name for it is "partial 16S ribosomal RNA". It matches the Rfam family "Bacterial small subunit ribosomal RNA", at positions 28 to 507 of the family's 1533-position model. The record is from RNAcentral.
GACGAACGCUGGCGGCGUGCCUAAUACAUGCAAGUCGAGCGGACGGAUGGGACCUUGCUCCCAGACUGUCAGCGGCGGACGGGUGAGUAACACGUGGGCAACCUGCCUGUAAGACUGGGAUAACUCCGGGAAACCGGGGCUAAUACCGGUUAACUCUUUCCCUCCCAUGAGGGAAAGCUGAAAGAUCGCAUCUCGCUAUCACUUACAGAUGGGCUCGCGGUGCAGUAGGUAGUUGGUGAGGUAAAGGCUCACCAAGGUGGCGAUGCGUAGCCGACCAGAGGGAGGGGUCGGCCACACUGGGAGUGGGACGCGGCCCAGGCUCCUGCGAGAGGCAGCAGAAGGGUAUGUUCCGCAAUGGACGAAAGUCUGACGGAGUGACGCCACGUGAGUGAUGGAGGUGCUCGGUGCGUAAAACUCUGUUGUCAGGUGAGAACAAGUACCGCAGGAACUGCCGGGAGCGUGACGGUACCUGGUCAGAAAGCCACGGCUAACUACGUG